This 271-nucleotide ribosomal RNA is filed under the name uncultured bacterium. RNAcentral describes it as "partial 16S ribosomal RNA". It matches the Rfam family "Bacterial small subunit ribosomal RNA", at positions 524 to 794 of the family's 1533-position model. The record is from RNAcentral.
AACGUAGGGGGCAAGCGUUGUCCGGAAUUACUGGGCGUAAAGGGCGUGUAGGUGGCCCGUGAAGUCGAGAGUGAAAACCGAGGGCUUAACCUUCGGCCUGCUUUCGAAACCAGCGGGCUUGAGUGCAGUAGAGGGAAGUGGAAUUCCCAGUGUAGCGGUGAAAUGCGUAGAUGUUGGGAGGAACACCAGUGGCGAAAGCGGCUUCCUGGCCUGCAACUGACACUGAGGCGCGAAAGCGUGGGGAGCAAACAGGAUUAGAUACCCGUGUAGU